CGGCGUGCCUAAUACAUGCAAGUCGAACGCAUUGUGGUUGAAAUGAUAUGAAGAACUUGUUCAGAUUUGAUUUUCAACAUUGCAAUGAGUGGCGAACGGGUGAGUAACACGUGGGAAACCUACCUCUUAGCAGGGGAUAACAUUUGGAAACAAAUGCUAAUACCGUAUAAUAAUUAAAACCGCAUGGUUUUAGUUUAAAAGAUGGUCUUGCUAUCACUAAGAGAUGGUCCCGCGGUGUAUUAGUUAGUUGGUGAGGUAAUGGCUCACCAAGACAAUGAUACAUAGCCGAGUUGAGAGACUGACCGGCCACAAUGGGACUGAGACACGGCCCAUACUCCUACGGGAGGCAGCAGUAGGGAAUCUUCCACAAUGGACGAAAGUCUGAUGGAGCAACGCCGCGUGUGUGAUGAAGGGUUUCGGCUCGUAAAACACUGUUGUAAGAGAAGAAUGACAUUGAGAGUAACUGUUCAAUGUGUGACGGUAUCUUACCAGAAAGGAACGGCUAAAUACGUGCCAGCAGCCGCGGUAAUACGUAUGUUCCAAGCGUUAUCCGGAUUUAUUGGGCGUAAAGCGAGCGCAGACGGUUAUUUAAGUCUGAAGUGAAAGCCCUCGGCUCAACCGAGGAAUUGCUUUGGAAACUGGAUAACUUGA
RNAcentral lists this ribosomal RNA (651 nucleotides) under uncultured Weissella sp. RNAcentral's name for it is "bacterial SSU rRNA". It matches the Rfam family "Bacterial small subunit ribosomal RNA", at positions 40 to 645 of the family's 1533-position model. Lineage: Bacteria; Bacillati; Bacillota; Bacilli; Lactobacillales; Lactobacillaceae. The record is from RNAcentral.